RNAcentral lists this non-coding RNA (1230 nucleotides) under Trichinella nativa. Its description in RNAcentral is "Eukaryotic large subunit ribosomal RNA". It matches the Rfam family "Eukaryotic large subunit ribosomal RNA", at positions 2389 to 3399 of the family's 3401-position model. Lineage: Eukaryota; Metazoa; Nematoda; Enoplea; Trichinellida; Trichinellidae. The record is from Rfam by way of RNAcentral.
CAAAAUCAGCGGGGAAAGAAGACCCUGUUGAGCUUGACUCUAGUCUGACUCUGUGAAGAGACAUGAAAGGUGUAGCAUAGGUGGGAGAUUGUCAAAUUGCCAUCGUUCGCGCGAUGGUCCGGUGAUCGCCAAUGAAAUACCACUACUUUGAUCGUUUCUUUACUUAUUCGGUAAAGCGAAAAAAUUGUGGCCAAUUUGGCGGUGUUUAUGUCGCUGUUGGUCAUUGUUUUCAUGUUAGAUUGAAGCUUUGUUUACAGCCGUCGCUUUGUGUCGCCAUUUGACGCAUUGUUGUACUGGGUUAUCCCGGUGUGUGGUGUAGUCAGUAUGGAUGAUCGGCGAUAGGUUUGAAGUGAUUCGCUCCGGAAACAGUGUCAGACGGGGAGUUUGACUGGGGCGGUACAUCUGUUAAACGAUAACGCAGGUGUCCUAAGGUAAGCUCAGCGAGGACAGAAACCUCGCUUAGAGUAAACGGGCACAAGCUUACUUGAUUUUGAUUUCCAGUACGAAUAGAAACCGCGAAAGCGUGGCCUAUCGAUCCUUUUGAUUGUGUAGAUUUCAUGCAAGAGGUGUCAGAAAAGUUACCACAGGGAUAACUGGCUUGUGGCAGCCAAGCGUCCAUAGCGACGUUGCUUUUUGAUCCUUCGAUGUCGGCUCUUCCUAUCAUUGCGAAGCAGAAUUCGCCAAGCGUUGGAUUGUUCACCCACCAAUAGGGAACGUGAGCUGGGUUUAGACCGUCGUGAGACAGGUUAGUUUUACCCUACUGAUGACAAGUCGUUGCGAUAGUAAUCCUGCUCAGUACGAGAGGAACCGCGGGAUCAGACAUUUGGUUCAUGCGCUCGGCUGAAAGGCCGGUGGCGCGAAGCUAGCAUCUGCAAGAUUAUGACUGAACGCCUCUAAGUCAGAAUCUUUUCUAGUCAUUGGCAACGAUAAGUUGCGUCCAGACUCGAUGCGAGGAAACGAUUAGGCUUUGCUAUACGGCGAAGCCAUUAUCAGACCACGGUAGCAGGCAGUAUGGGAUUGUUACGAAAAAGCAAUUUUUUGAAGUCAGUUGAAUUCAAUCAAACUGCUAACAAUUCCACUGCGAAUGACUCCAUUCGAAUCAAUCGAAGCACAGCGGUCAGGAUGUCGAACAUUUUGCAGACGACAAAAAUACCGGUACAGGUGUCGUAAUCAGUAGAGCAGUCAACACACUGCGAUCUGAUGAGACUCAUCCUUGUAAUCGAUUUGCUC